UAGCUAGUUGGUGAGGUAACGGCUUACCAAGGCGACGAUCUGUAGCGGGUCUGAGAGGAUGAUCCGCCACACUGGAACUGAGACACGGUCCAGACUCCUACGGGAGGCAGCAGUGGGGAAUUUUGGACAAUGGGGGCAACCCUGAUCCAGCCAUGCCGCGUGAGUGAAGAAGGCCUUCGGGUUGUAAAGCUCUUUCGGCCGGGAAGAAAUCGCAUGGGCCAAUACCCUGUGUGGAUGACGGUACCGGAAUAAGAAGCACCGGCUAACUACGUGCCAGCAGCCGCGGUAAUACGUAGGGUGCGAGCGUUAAUCGGAAUUACUGGGCGUAAAGCGUGCGCAGGCGGUUUUGUAAGACAGGCGUGAAAUCCCCGGGCUCAACCUGGGAACUGCGUUUGUGACUGCAAGGCUAGAGUACGGCAGAGGGGGGUGGAAUUCCACGUGUAGCAGUGAAUGCGUAGAGAUGUGGAGGAACACCAAUGGCGAAGGCAGCCCCCUGGGUCGAUACUGACGCUCAUGCACGAAAGCGUGGGUAGCAAACAGGAUUAGAUACCCUGGUAGUCCACGCCCUAAACUAUGUCAACUAGGUGUUGGGUGGGUAAAACCAUUUAGUACCGUAGCUAACGCGUGAAGUUGACCGCCUGGGGAGUACGGCCGCAAGGUUAAAACUCAAAGGAAUUGACGGGGACCCGCACAAGCGGUGGAUGAUGUGGAUUAAUUCGAUGCAACGCGAAAAACCUUACCUACCCUUGACAUGCCAGGAACUUGCCAGAGAUGGCUUGGUGCCCGAAAGGGAGCCUGGACACAGGUGCUGCAUGGCUGUCGUCAGCUCGUGUCGUGAGAUGUUGGGUUAAGUCCCGCAACGAGCGCAACCCUUGCCGUUAAUUGCCAUCAUUUAGUUGGGCACUUUAGCGAGACUGCCGGUGACAAACCGGAGGAAGGUGGGGAUGACGUCAAGUCCUCAUGGCCCUUAUGGGUAGGGCUUCACACGUCAUACAAUGGUCGGUACAGAGGGUCGCCAAGCCGCGAGGUGGAGCCAAUCCCAGAAAGCCGAUCGUAGUCCGGAUUGCAGGCUGCAACUCGCCUGCAUGAAGUCGGAAUCGCUAGUAAUCGUGGAUCAGCAUGUCACGGUGAAUACGUUCCCGGGUCUUGUACACACCGCCCGUCACACCAUGGGAGCGGGUUCCGCCAGAAGUAGGUAGCCUAACCGCAAGGAGGGCGCUUACCACGGCGGGGUUCGUGACUGGGGUGAAGUCGUAACAAGGUAGCCGUAGGGGAACCUGCGGCUG
RNAcentral lists this ribosomal RNA (1286 nucleotides) under metagenome. Its description in RNAcentral is "bacterial SSU rRNA". It matches the Rfam family "Bacterial small subunit ribosomal RNA", at positions 242 to 1520 of the family's 1533-position model. The record is from RNAcentral.